AGUGAACGCUGGCGGUAGGCCUAACACAUGCAAGUCGAACGGCAGCACAGUAAGAGCUUGCUCUUACGGUUGGCGAGUGGCGGACGGGUGAGGAAUACAUCGGAAUCUACUUUUUCGUGGGGGAUAACGUAGGGAAACUUACGCUAAUACCGCAUACGACCUACGGGUGAAAGCAGGGGAUCUUCGGACCUUGCGCGAUUGAAUGAGCCGAUGUCGGAUUAGCUAGUUGGCGGGGUAAAGGCCCACCAAGGCGACGAUCCGUAGCUGGUCGGAGAGGAUGAUCAGCCACACUGGAACUGAGACACGGUCCAGACUCCUACGGGAGGCAGCAGUGGGGAAUAUUGGACAAUGGGCGCAAGCCUGAUCCAGCCAUACCGCGUGGGUGAAGAAGGCCUUCGGGUUGUAAAGCCCUUUUGUUGGGAAAGAAAAGCAGCAGGUUAAUACCCCGCUGUUCUGACGGUACCCAAAGAAUAAGCACCGGCUAACUUCGUG
RNAcentral lists this ribosomal RNA (492 nucleotides) under uncultured bacterium. RNAcentral describes it as "partial 16S ribosomal RNA". It matches the Rfam family "Bacterial small subunit ribosomal RNA", at positions 29 to 507 of the family's 1533-position model. The record is from RNAcentral.